This is a long non-coding RNA of Humulus lupulus (European hop), 418 nucleotides long. RefSeq lists it as uncharacterized. Lineage: Eukaryota; Viridiplantae; Streptophyta; Magnoliopsida; Rosales; Cannabaceae. The transcript is spliced from 4 exons. The record is from RefSeq and is a predicted model, not a curated record.
CAUUAACAGAUAAUUUUUCACUACUUGCAAUUUGAAUCCGAAGACACUUACUUUUUCUUACUUUUUGGUGGCGGUGCCUUGCUUACCCUGUGGCUAGCAUCAGCUGUUGUUGGAGGAAUUGAUUCUAUCCCGGUGUUCCCCAAAUUGUUGGAGAUUGUUGGUCUUGGCUAUACAGUUUGGUUCGCAUCUCGCUAUUUGAUAUUCAAGGGAUAACUAGUAUCGAAGAUAGUGUUGGAAGUGUUACUACUUGGCUCGCCGACAAAGUUAUAAUGAGGUGAUGAAGAUAGCGACACGAGAAUUGGAUGCUUGCAAUUAAUAACGAGAUAGUGUUGGACAAAUGUUACAAUUUGCCUUUUAUUAGACUCAUUAGACAUUAUUUCUAAACAUAAACUUUUAUUAUGGUAUUUUGCACUUGAAA